UCCGGUUGAUCCUGCCAGAGGUUACUGCUAUCGGUGUUCGCCUAAGCCAUGCGAGUCAUAUGUUCUUCGUGAACAUGGCGUACUGCUCAGUAACACGUGGAUAACCUGCCCUUGGGUCCGGCAUAACCCCGGGAAACUGGGGAUAAUUCCGGAUAACGCAUAUAUGCUGGAAUGCUUUAUGCGUAAAAUGGAUUCGUCUGCCCAAGGAUGGGUCUGCGGCCUAUCAGGUAGUAGUGGGUGUAAUGUACCUACUAGCCAACAACGGGUACGGGUUGUGAGAGCAAGAGCCCGGAGAUGGAUUCUGAGACAUGAAUCCAGGCCCUACGGGGCGCAGCAGGCGCGAAAACUUUACAAUGCGGGAAACCGUGAUAAGGGGACACCGAGUGCCAGCAUCAUAUGCUGGCUGUCCGGGUGUGUAAAAUACACCCGUUAGCAAGGGCCGGGCAAGACCGGUGCCAGCCGCCGCGGUAACACCGGCGGCCCGAGUGGUGAUCGUGAUUAUUGGGUCUAAAGGGUCCGUAGCCGGUUUGGUCAGUCCUCCGGGAAAUCUGAUGGCUCAACCAUUAGGCUUUCGGGGGACACUGCCAGGCUUGGAACCGGGAGAGGUAAGAGGUACUACAGGGGUAGGAGUGAAAUCUUGUAAUCCCUGUGGGGACCACCUGUGGCAAAGGCGUCUUACCAGAACGGGUUCGACGGUGAGGGACGAAAGCUGGGGGCACGAACCGGAUUAGAUACCCGGGUAGUCCCAGCCGUAAACGAUGCUCGCUAGGUGUCAGGCAUGGCGCGACCGUGUCUGGUGCCGCAGGGAAGCCGUGAAGCGAGCCACCUGGGAAGUACGGCCGCAAGGCUGAAACUUAAAGGAAUUGGCGGGGGAGCACAACAACGGGUGGAGCCUGCGGUUUAAUUGGACUCAACGCCGGACAACUCACCGGGGACGACAGCAAAAUGUAGGCCAGGCUGAAGACCUUGCCUGAAUCGCUGAGAGGAGGUGCAUGGCCGUCGCCAGUUCGUACUGUGAAGCAUCCUGUUAAGUCAGGUAACGAGCGAGAC
This 1050-nucleotide ribosomal RNA is filed under the name unidentified archaeon. RNAcentral describes it as "bacterial SSU rRNA". It matches the Rfam family "Archaeal small subunit ribosomal RNA", at positions 1 to 1051 of the family's 1478-position model. The record is from RNAcentral.